GUGGAUUAGAUACCCUAGUAGUCCACACCGUAAACGUUGGGCGCUAGGUGUGGGACUCAUUCCACGAGUUCCGUGCCGCAGCUAACGCAUUAAGCGCCCCGCCUGGGGAGUACGGCCGCAAGGCUAAAACUCAAAGGAAUUGACGGGGGCCCGCACAAGCGGCGGAGCAUGCGGAUUAAUUCGAUGCAACGCGAAGAACCUUACCUAGGUUUGACAUAUACGAGAAGCCUCUAGAGAUAGAGGUCUCUUUGGACACUCGUAUACAGGUGGUGCACGGCUGUCGCCAACU
Molecule: ribosomal RNA, 289 nt
Filed under: uncultured bacterium
Lineage: Bacteria
Description: partial 16S ribosomal RNA
Rfam family: Bacterial small subunit ribosomal RNA
Source: RNAcentral